This 252-nucleotide ribosomal RNA is filed under the name uncultured microorganism. RNAcentral describes it as "partial 16S ribosomal RNA". It matches the Rfam family "Bacterial small subunit ribosomal RNA", at positions 524 to 776 of the family's 1533-position model. The record is from RNAcentral.
UACGUAGGUCCCGAGCGUUGUCCGGAUUUAUUGGGCGUAAAGCGAGCGCAGGUGGUUUAAUAAGUCUGAUGUAAAAGGCAGUGGCUCAACCGUUGUGUGCAUUGGAAACUGUUAGACUUGAGUGCAGUAGAGGAGAGUGGAAUUCCAUGUGUAGCGGUGAAAUGCGUAGAUAUAUGGAGGAACACCGGUGGCGAAAGCGGCUCUCUGGACUGUAACUGACACUGAGGCUCGAAAGCGUGGGUAGCAAACAGG